This is a long non-coding RNA of Alosa sapidissima (American shad), 952 nucleotides long. RefSeq lists it as uncharacterized. Lineage: Eukaryota; Metazoa; Chordata; Actinopteri; Clupeiformes; Clupeidae. The transcript is spliced from 2 exons. The record is from RefSeq and is a predicted model, not a curated record.
GAACUCAGCACAACCAUAUUUCUGCUUACACAAAUGGUUAUACAAUGAUAAUAAUAAUUUCCUUACAGUAACGUAGGGGAGAGUGGGGUGAUUGGUGCCAGUGGGGAAGUUGUGCCACCCCCUAUUUCUAGGAAACUAUAGAAAAAAUUGGCCAUGUGACCACACAUUUUUGAAGACUCAGCCAUUUCAAUCAUCCUGCAGAGAAGAGAGCCUCAUUGCAUGAGAGGUAAGCACAUUUAAGUUAAAAGAACUGUUUUUUGCCUUUCAAAGUAAAAUUUCUAUGAUCAUGUUUUUUUGAUUGUUGUGUCAAAACAGUUAUAGACAAGUUUGAAACAUUUCACACAUGUUUUAGUGCUUUGGUAAGCUACAUUAUGAGUCUACAGCAUGAUGUUAGCUCAAAUCUGAUGGAUGAUGCAUUUUUUCCAAAAUGGUGGGGUUGGGGUGAUUUGUGCCCAAGGGCCUGGGUUAAGUUGUGCCAGUGGCACAACUCACCCCCACUUAUAAAUAAUGUUUUAAACAUAUUAUUUUAUUGUAAUUGUGCAUUUUAUUCUUACAUUUUAUCACUAAAACUAUGUGACAUUCUUAAUUUUAGACCAAAAAUAGAAGUAUACCAUCAUGCCACAGAGUUAUAAGAGGAAGACAGGCAGGGCAUACUGUACGGAGAAGGAGCUGGAAGAACAUAUAAAGGCACUAGGAGUAAUGUUUCAUGGUCUAAGUCCCAUGAAAUGCUGUGAACUUCACACACACACACACUGACCAGGAAGCCUGGGAAGGAGAGGGGGAACAUCAUCUCUAGGUAUGACUUCCCUCCACACAAGAUCUACAACAUGGAUGAAACUAGUGUGACAAUGGAAAAUUACCUUUAAUUGAUGUGCUCGUGUGGCACAAUAGGCUUGUAGAAAAUUGGCCUUUGAUGUUGUAAAAUAACUUUAAAUAAACCUUAAAUGAGUAA